UUGUGUAGCUCUCUCCGAACAGCACUCCUGGGCUCUUACGGUUUCUCCUUAUCAACACUGCCAUCUGCAUUGCCCAGACUGCGGGCAGGGAGAGGAAAGACCUGACCUCAAUGUACCCAUGAAGUGAGCCCCUACUGAACAUGGCGCCGUCUGGUCGUAGCAGCGUCAAACGGAGAUGCAGAAGAUGUCUGUAUUGGAUCCCCGUGUUAUUUAUCUCCAUCAUCGUUUGCUGGUCUUACUACGCCUAUGUGAUCCAGCUCUGCAUAGUGUCCAUGGACAAUGUUGGUGAGAAAGUGUUGUGUCUAAUAUCGUAUCACUUCUUUGUUCUGCUUUUUGUCUGGUCCUACUGGAAAACCAUCUUUACUUUACCAAUGAAUCCAGCAAAAGAGUUUCAUCUGUCGUAUGCAGACAAAGAGCUCCUAGAAAGGGAACCAAGAGGAGAAUCCCAACAAGAGGUUUUGAGGAGACUAGCCAAGGACCUUCCAGUCUACACCAGGACAAUGUCAGGAGCCAUCAGAUACUGUGACAGAUGCCAGCUUGUAAAACCUGACCGCUGUCAUCACUGCUCAGUCUGUGAUAAGUGUAUACUGAAAAUGGACCAUCAUUGUCCUUGGGUGAACAACUGUGUUGGAUUCUCAAACUACAAAUUUUUCCUCCUCUUUUUGGCGUACUCACUGUUAUACUGCCUUUUUAUUGUUGCUACAGACUUACAGUAUUUCAUCAAGUUCUGGACGAAUGGUCUGCCUGACACUCAAGCCAAAUUCCACAUCAUGUUUUUGUUUUUUGCUGCUGCCAUGUUUUCUGUGAGCCUGUCCUCCCUGUUUGGCUAUCACUGUUGGCUGGUCUGCAAGAAUCGAUCUACAUUAGAAGCAUUCAGAGCUCCUGUAUUUCGACACGGUACAGACAAAAAUGGUUUUAGUCUUGGCAUUAGUAAAAAUCUGCGACAGGUAUUUGGGGAUGAAAAGAAAUAUUGGUUGCUGCCUGUCUUUACUAGCCUGGGAGAUGGUUGUUCUUUUCCUACGUGCCUUGUGAACCAGGAUGUUGAACAGGUGACCACACCUACUGGAGUUAGUGCCACAGCCAAAAGUAUUGAUAAUCAUCCCUUCCCAGCAAAACCUCUUCGUGAAUCUCAAAGCCACCUUCUAACUGAUACCCAGCCUUGGACUGAAAGCAAUGGAAACAGUGAAAAGGACAAACUUGGAGGAUGAUCCAUAUACUCAGAAACCGGCAAUGGUAUUGGAUACAAACUACAGCAAUUUAUACUGGACAAAUAAAUGCUUAACACAAAGGUAUGAGUAACCCUGGAUUAACUAUUGAAAAUGAAACGUAGCUCUUCAGGAUAAAAUGGUUUGAAAUCAGUGUUGAAAAAUUUGGAUAAGGAAGAAGUCACGCUCCCAUUGGCAAGCAUUACAUCUGUAUCAAGGUGGAUGUGAUUACAACAGCAAAAAAUAUAAAUAACAGCACCUAAUUGGCUUGCUUCAUAACCGCUUAAAACAUGACAACAACAUAUCCCCUGGUAUUGUACCAGCACCAGGAAAUGUAAACAUAAGUGUGGUUUCUAAGAACAGUGACCUAAGGAAGAGGAACUCUGUAGUGUAAAAUCUUCACAGUCCUGUGUUGUAUACAAUGUAAGGCCGUAUUUUGACUGUGUUUAUGAUAUUAUAGCACAAACCCAGCAUACAUGUGAUUCCUCUUAAAUGAAGGAACAUCCGUUCUGUAUUUCGUGAAUGCCGAAUUACUCCUUUUGAAAACCAGUAUUGAUCAAAUCAUUUUUACUGUUAAAGUAGCAGUAUUGAGGCCAAUUAAAUGUUAUUGAUACCAUUAAAUAACAUACCAUCAAAUUAUUUUACAGGUAACUUAUUUUUAUUAUGCCACAAAUACUGUAGUUUAAGACAAAGAUCAAGUACUUAAAAAGUGAUCUAUUUAUAAAAAGUUAUUCUUCAUUAAAUCUUAUACAGUUAUUAAACAAACACAA
RNA transcript from Bombina bombina (fire-bellied toad), 1975 nucleotides. It is a transcript of the gene named zinc finger DHHC-type palmitoyltransferase 2, with no coding region annotated. The record is from RefSeq and is a predicted model, not a curated record. Lineage: Eukaryota; Metazoa; Chordata; Amphibia; Anura; Bombinatoridae. The transcript has 14 exons.